This is a long non-coding RNA of Panicum virgatum (switchgrass), 929 nucleotides long. RefSeq lists it as uncharacterized. The record is from RefSeq and is a predicted model, not a curated record. The transcript has 2 exons. Lineage: Eukaryota; Viridiplantae; Streptophyta; Magnoliopsida; Poales; Poaceae.
GCUACUUGAUGCACUGCUUUAUUAAACACUGUGUUUUGUAUCCAAUCAAUAAAUCGAACUAUAAAUUAUACUUAUAUUGCCAAAGCAUUCCUAUCCAGACAGUACUCAAAUAUUUCAUUUGAGAGAUUUGUUUUGCUCUAUAUAUGAUUUGUAUAAUUGUAUUGAUGACUGAAGCACUCAUUCUCCAUACAGUACUCAAAGAUUUCAUUUGAGAGAGACAUGUUGCUUUAUAUGUAUUGUGUGUUGGUUUUUUUUUGGUUAAUUUUUUAUUGACAUAUCAGAGAAUUUUGAGUCAAAGCAGGAAAUUUUCUGUUUCGGCUUUCCUCCGUGGCUCAUGUGUUUGAAACUUUGAAUCCAUAUAGCAUCUUUUUGUAUACUUUGUACAUAAUUAUUUCUCCAAAUGUUGUUCUGACUCCUUUACAUUUAUCUCCAUUGACCUAGGAAUUGAAAAGGAAGGAAGAGGCGGCAUCCUGAGUGUUGGUGGGACUGAUUAUGGGUCUAUUAGAGUAGGCACUUACGUGGGUUGCAAGAUGAUCAAGUGGUGCUGCAUCUAACCUACUUUCAGAAGUGUUGCUCUCAUGUACGUCUAUGCAAUCAAGCAACUCUAAUCCUGUUGAAUCAUGUAAUUCUUCUGGAUGCUAGAUCUCUGGGCAUUAAUGUUUGUGCCGCAAAUCAUGUAGGCAGUUACGUCCAUGUCUUUUGUAUAUUUUGUCUUUCUUAGCAUUUUAUAAGUUUUGGAGUGAGCAAAACACAUGGAUGAUGACCUUUGGAUAAGACUAAACAUCUCAUGGAAGUAUUUAUGGUCCCGUGGCAAGAGAAAUAUAGGCCAAAUAAUUUUGACUCUUAAGAUUUUCUAUCAUGUAUGUGUGCUUAUUUAAUUCAGAUGCAGCCAUAUAGGCAAGGAAUAGAGAUUUAUAGGACCCACAAAA